UAAGCAAAUAUGCCAUCUAAUCAAAUUGUGUGAUUUAAUCUCUUUAUAUAGUACGCAAAUCGGUUCCUCUUCGUCUUCUUUUAAGGCAGAGACGCAAAUCGGUUCCUCUUCGUCUUCUUUUAAGGCGGAGACGCAAAUCGGUUCCUCUUCGUCUUCUUUUAAGGUGGAGAGCCAUCGUCCUAUCCUCGAAUACCCAACACAUCUGCUCCUCCGUUUGGGUCCUCUUUGCACAUCUCAUCUCCCCCAACCGAAAUCUUGAAGGCUCUAUCGCAGCAGCAACGAGCUUUCGUUGCCGCACUCGAUGGCAGACACCCAGCUCCAACAAAUCUGGCAGCCUUGGCGGCCUCUGGCUUCUCUGGCGUCUGGGCUCUUGGAUGUGGAAGCGGCCAGGACUGGGCAGUUGGGUGCCACCACGUCCAGUUCAUACGAAUCGUGAAGGCCGCUCGGUGCCACCACACGACUUGUUCUAGCGACCGAUCGGGCAUCCUACGGCAGAGAACGGAUACCAUGUAUGCCGCGCGAAUGUGAUCGAUAGCGUCUUGGGCGUCCUCCUCAUUAGCACCACCAUCGAUCAUGUGACCGUGAACUCAUCAAGGUUCAUCACAAGGGAGUAGGGGUUCGAGACAGUCAAUCGACAUUCACUACUGCAGCUUCAAACGCGGUUCGUGGGGGCAGCUCCAGCACUGGCAAAAGGUGAGCUUGGAGAAAUAACUUCAUCUGAUUUGCACGAUCCAAUCUUUAGUCCAGAAUAAUUUCACAAUCAAGGGCUUUUGGAUGGUAAAAUAGUGAGGAUCUGUGAACAAACUAAAGCGUCAAAACUCAGGGUGGACUGGAUAGGGUACACUCACAUUAUUUAACUUUAUUCUAACAUAUUGUAUAUCCACUGUCAACACCAAUCAGGGGCCUUUUUACUUUAUGUUUAUUUGUGCUAUAAAAGCAGUACUCUCUAAUCUUCAGAUUUCUAACUCGGUAAGAAAUUUGAUUAACAUAUCUUAUAUAUACCGUCAACACAAAUCAGGGGCUUUUUACUGUUUACGUAUUUAUUUGUGCUAUAAAAAGAAGUACACUAAUCUUCAGAUUUCUAUCUCUGUAGGGGAUUCGAAAGCAUCUGGUCUGUACCAAUUGACACACAAAAAGAACCUUGGCAAACGAAAAAUACUAAACGAUGGAAAGACUAUUCUGACAAGAAAUAUUCUUUAGGUUACUGUAGUAUUUAUUGUAAUUAAUUGACCCCAUUGUUUUGUUAAAAUUAGAUGGAUGGCAGUUUGCUCACCUUUUCCCUACAGGGUUGAGCACUAUAGCAACUGUAUUAGCCUAAAGUAGCCAUUCAACAACUAUUUGUGUGUUCUAUUAACCAUUAUAUUCAUGUCCACCAAUAAGGAAAUUAAAUUUAUCAGCACUAACACAUAUUUAUUUCUUCAUUUUCUGAUUGCAGGAUCUCGCUAUCAGGGCCAGACAAAGCAACUAGGUCAUUGGUUGUGUCAGAGAGUUCGGCUCGGAUAACUAUGAGCAACCUUUCCUUUGCCUUACUUGGUUAAAUACCAUGUUAUCUUUCUUAUUGUAAGUCAAAUUGUAGCCUACUUGAAAACAACCGCCACCCUCACUGUAAUUCACAAUGUCAUCUUCACACACCCAAAUAAGCUAAAUUUUAGCAGUAUAAUAGGAUUGGAGUUGAGGAAAAGCAUCAAUGUUACUUUUUUGAGCUGAAAUGUGUUACUUUCA
Long non-coding RNA from Triticum aestivum (bread wheat), 1722 nucleotides. RefSeq lists it as uncharacterized. The transcript has 3 exons. Lineage: Eukaryota; Viridiplantae; Streptophyta; Magnoliopsida; Poales; Poaceae. The record is from RefSeq and is a predicted model, not a curated record.